RNAcentral lists this ribosomal RNA (253 nucleotides) under uncultured bacterium. Its description in RNAcentral is "partial 16S ribosomal RNA". It matches the Rfam family "Bacterial small subunit ribosomal RNA", at positions 524 to 776 of the family's 1533-position model. The record is from RNAcentral.
GACGAACCGUGCGAACGUUGUUCGGAAUCACUGGGCUUAAAGGGCGCGUAGGCGGGCUAUCAAGUCCGGGGUGAAAUCCUCCAGCUCAACUGGAGAACUGCCUCGGAUACUGGGUGCCUCGAGGGUGGUAGGGGUAUGCGGAACUAUCGGUGGAGCGGUGAAAUGCGUAGAUAUCGGGAGGAACACCAGUGGCGAAGGCGACUACCUGGCCUGUUCUUGACGCUGAGGCGCGAAAGCUAGGGGAGCAAACGGG